GAAAAAGGAGGCGACAACUACUAAUGAGGGACCAGCAGCUCUUCUGUUGACAUUUGCUCCUGGGAUAACUCUGCCUUCCAAAGAGAACCUCGUCUCUACGUUUAGGAAAUAUGGUGAUCUGAUCGAGUCUGAAACUGAUUCAGUGCAAAAAUCUGGCUGUGCUCGCGUUGUGUUUGUGAAAAGCAUUGAUGCGGAGAAGGCCUUUAAUAGUCGAAAUAAGACCAAAGAAUUUGGGCCUGCAGUUCCAAGCUACCGUUUGUGCCCCCUAUCAGGAAAUGCGACCUCUCCGCCUCGGCAGACAACUAUGAAGACUCCUCUUCCUUCCAUUAAGAAGGGCCUUCAAAGAAUGAUCUCCAAUCUUACUGUAUCAUCUACGCCGG
Molecule: unclassified non-coding RNA, 380 nt
Filed under: Hevea brasiliensis (rubber tree)
Lineage: Eukaryota; Viridiplantae; Streptophyta; Magnoliopsida; Malpighiales; Euphorbiaceae
Source: RNAcentral